UACAGAGGGUGCGAGCGUUGUUCGGAAUUACUGGGCGUAAAGCGCGCGCAGGCGGUCUUCCAAGUCAGUGGUGAAAGCCUGGAGCUCAACUCCAGAACUGCCAUUGAAACUGUGAGACUUGAGUACGAGAGAGGUGAGUGGAAUUCCCAGUGUAGAGGUGAAAUUCGUAGAUAUUGGGAAGAACACCAGUGGCGAAGGCGGCUCACUGGCUCGUAACUGACGCUCAGGCGCGACAGCGUGGGGAUCAAACAGG
This 253-nucleotide ribosomal RNA is filed under the name uncultured bacterium. RNAcentral describes it as "partial 16S ribosomal RNA". It matches the Rfam family "Bacterial small subunit ribosomal RNA", at positions 524 to 776 of the family's 1533-position model. The record is from RNAcentral.